AGCGAACGCUGGCGGCAGGCUUAACACAUGCAAGUCGAACGGGCAUAGCAAUAUGUCAGUGGCAGACGGGUGAGUAACGCGUGGGAACGUACCUUUUGGUUCGGAACAACACAGGGAAACUUGUGCUAAUACCGGAUAAGCCCUUACGGGGAAAGAUUUAUCGCCGAAAGAUCGGCCCGCGUCUGAUUAGCUAGUUGGUAGGGUAAUGGCCUACCAAGGCGACGAUCAGUAGCUGGUCUGAGAGGAUGAUCAGCCACAUUAGGACUGAGACACGGCCCAAACUCCUACGGGAGGCAGCAGUGGGGAAUAUUGGACAAUGGGCGAAAGCCUGAUCCAGCCAUGCCGCGUGAGUGAUGAAGGCCCUAGGGUUGUAAAGCUCUUUUGUGCGGGAAGAUAAUGACGGUACCGCAAGAAUAAGCCCCGGCUAACUUCGUG
This 435-nucleotide ribosomal RNA is filed under the name uncultured bacterium. RNAcentral describes it as "partial 16S ribosomal RNA". It matches the Rfam family "Bacterial small subunit ribosomal RNA", at positions 29 to 507 of the family's 1533-position model. The record is from RNAcentral.